This 127-nucleotide small RNA is filed under the name Alteromonas macleodii. RNAcentral describes it as "Manganese sequence". It matches the Rfam family "Manganese Mn2+ riboswitch aptamer (yybP-ykoY)". Rfam says of the family: This RNA was originally discovered in E. coli during a large scale screen and was named SraF. Lineage: Bacteria; Pseudomonadati; Pseudomonadota; Gammaproteobacteria; Alteromonadales; Alteromonadaceae. The record is from RNAcentral.
CCCUCGGUUGGGGAGUAGCCUGUUUCCGUUUCAAAUGGAAAAGUUUGUAUCAACAUAAUUGGUCACAUUACCAUGGUACAAACACCUAUUGGUUGGCGAGACCAUCGAUAAGUCCACGCUUAAAGGU